Molecule: long non-coding RNA, 716 nt
Filed under: Brassica napus (rape)
Lineage: Eukaryota; Viridiplantae; Streptophyta; Magnoliopsida; Brassicales; Brassicaceae
Description: long non-coding RNA (BNAP_LNC008112)
Source: RNAcentral
UAUACACAAAGAACUCAGUGAGCAAUACAAUCAUAAAGAUCAAUGCUUAAUUUGUGGCAACCUUUUGCUCUCUUCCUUAUUUGUACUUCCAAGACAUCAGCUUCAAGAUUUUCAAACCGAGAAGAAGAAUUUAAUCUCUAUAUUUUCAAGCUCCGUCGCCAAAUCAAUAACAGAGACUCACUGUCAAUGCAGUUACGAACUCAAGCGGAGGAACAGAGCAAACCUGGGAAUCAAGCAGCAACAUAUCGACUCCCAUGAGUUCGCCACCGCAUCCGAUGUUCCUGGCCUCCCAAUAACAGAGCAACUGCACUUGAACGGUGGAAUAGCAUUAGCCAUACUGAAAAUAAAAUUACUGGUUUCGGAAUACGAAAGGAGGAGAUGAUUCUCAUAGCAUGAAAGCAUACCCUUUUAUAGUCGAAAUUCCACCGCCUUUCAUGAGUUAAGAUCGCAUUCAAGAGAGAUCAUGGGUAUGUAUUUAAGAAAGAGUUGAAGAGGGGUAAUCUGUAACCGGUAUCACUGCAGAUUGAUAAGGAAGAAGAUGAAACGCUCGCUCUUGGAACACAGGUUAAGCCUCGAUCUCCAAUGGCGGAGAAGUAUGCUUCAACCCUAAUUGCAAAAACAGUUAAUACGCGUUUAAACUAAGACAUACUGGAAUCGGGCUGUACCAAUUUUGAGAAUACAGAUAAAGCCCGUAGCAAUGAAGCCCAUAAGCCAAC